This 29-nucleotide non-coding RNA is filed under the name Macaca fascicularis (crab-eating macaque). The record is from RNAcentral. Lineage: Eukaryota; Metazoa; Chordata; Mammalia; Primates; Cercopithecidae. RNAcentral also lists the same sequence under 1 other name.
ACGGUGGUGAGUCAGGAAUGACAGGCAGG